GACGAACGCUGGCGGCGUGCUUAACACAUGCAAGUCGAACGGAAAGGCCCUGCUUUUGUGGGGUGCUCGAGUGGCGAACGGGUGAGUAACACGUGAGUAACCUGCCCUUGACUUUGGGAUAACUUCAGGAAACUGGGGCUAAUACCGGAUAGGAGCUCCUGCUGCAUGGUGGGGGUUGGAAAGUUUCGGCGGUUGGGGAUGGACUCGCGGCUUAUCAGCUUGGUGGUGGGGUAGUGGCUUACCAAGGCUUUGACGGGUAGCCGGCCUGAGAGGGUGACCGGCCACAUUGGGACUGAGAUACGGCCCAGACUCCUACGGGAGGCAGCAGUGGGGAAUAUUGCACAAUGGGCGGAAGCCUGAUGCAGCAACGCCGCGUGCGGGAUGACGGCCUUCGGGUUGUAAACCGCUUUCGCCUGUGACGAAGCGUGAGUGACGGUAAUGGGUAAAGAAGCGCCGGCUAACUACGUG
RNAcentral lists this ribosomal RNA (468 nucleotides) under uncultured bacterium. RNAcentral's name for it is "partial 16S ribosomal RNA". It matches the Rfam family "Bacterial small subunit ribosomal RNA", at positions 28 to 507 of the family's 1533-position model. The record is from RNAcentral.